Molecule: ribosomal RNA, 484 nt
Filed under: uncultured bacterium
Lineage: Bacteria
Description: partial 16S ribosomal RNA
Rfam family: Bacterial small subunit ribosomal RNA
Source: RNAcentral
AUUGAACGCUGGCGGCAGGCCUAACACAUGCAAGUCGAGCGGAUGAAGGGAGCUUGCUCCUGGAUUCAGCGGCGGACGGGUGAGUAAUGCCUAGGAAUCUGCCUGGUAGUGGGGGAUAACGUCCGGAAACGGGCGCUAAUACCGCAUACGUCCUGAGGGAGAAAGUGGGGGAUCUUCGGACCUCACGCUAUCAGAUGAGCCUAGGUCGGAUUAGCUAGUUGGUGGGGUAAAGGCCUACCAAGGCGACGAUCCGUAACUGGUCUGAGAGGAUGAUCAGUCACACUGGAACUGAGACACGGUCCAGGCUCCUACGGGAGGCAGCAGUGGGGAAUAUUGGACAAUGGGCGAAAGCCUGAUCCAGCCAUGCCGCGUGUGUGAAGAAGGUCUUCGGAUUGUAAAGCACUUUAAGUUGGGAGGAAGGGCAGUAAGUUAAUACCUUGCUGUUUUGACGUUACCAACAGAAUGAGCACCGGCUAACUUCGUG